This 461-nucleotide ribosomal RNA is filed under the name uncultured bacterium. Its description in RNAcentral is "bacterial SSU rRNA". It matches the Rfam family "Bacterial small subunit ribosomal RNA", at positions 36 to 518 of the family's 1533-position model. The record is from RNAcentral.
CUGGCGGCAUGCUUCAUACAUGCAAGUCGAACGUGAAGCCGACUUCGGUUGGUGGAAAGUGGCGGACGGGUGAGUAAUAUGUAGGAAAUCUGCCCUUGAGAGGGGGACAACAGAGGGAAACUUCUGCUAAUACCCCAUAUGAGCGUACCUGAAAUGGUAUUCUUGAAAACUCCGGUGCUCAAGGAUGAGCCUGCAUCUGAUUAGCUAGUUGGCGGUGUAAUGGACCACCAAGGCGACGAUCAGUAGCUGGUUUGAGAGGAUGAUCAGCCACAAUGGGACUGAGACACGGCCCAUACUCCUACGGGAGGCAGCAGUAGGGAAUUUUGCGCAAUGGGCGAAAGCCUGACGCAGCAAUGCCGCGUGAACGUAGAAGCCCUUCGGGGUGUAAAGUUCUGUCAGUGGGGACGAAUUUUGACGGUACCCACAGAGGAAGCACCGGCUAACUCCGUGCCAGCCGCGGC